This 74-nucleotide transfer RNA is filed under the name Nitrososphaerota archaeon. RNAcentral's name for it is "tRNA-Ile". It matches the Rfam family "tRNA". Rfam says of the family: Transfer RNA (tRNA) molecules are approximately 80 nucleotides in length. Their secondary structure includes four short double-helical elements and three loops (D, anti-codon, and T loops). The record is from RNAcentral. RNAcentral also lists the same sequence under 1 other name. Lineage: Archaea; Thermoproteati; Nitrososphaerota.
GGGCCCGUAGCUCAGCUUGGCGGAGCGUCCGGCUGAUAACCGGAAGGUCGUGGGUUCAAAUCCCACCGGGCCCA